Molecule: ribosomal RNA, 469 nt
Filed under: uncultured bacterium
Lineage: Bacteria
Description: bacterial SSU rRNA
Rfam family: Bacterial small subunit ribosomal RNA
Source: RNAcentral
UCCAGACUCCUACGGGAGGCAGCAGUGAGGAAUAUUGGUCAAUGGGCGGGAGCCUGAACCAGCCAAGUCGCGUGAGGGAUUAAGGCCCUGCGGGUCGUAAACCUCUUUUGCCGGGGAGCAGAGGUCCGGACGUGUCCGGGCCGGGAGAGUACCCGGAGAAAAAGCAUCGGCUAACUCCGUGCCAGCAGCCGCGGUAAUACGGGGGAUGCAAGCGUUAUCCGGAUUUAUUGGGUUUAAAGGGUGCGUAGGCUGUGAGGUAAGUCAGCGGUGAAAUGCCCCCGCUCAACGGGGUGAAGUGCCAUUGAUACUGCCUUGCUGGAAUGCGGAUGCCGUGGGAGGAAUGUGUGGUGUAGCGGUGAAAUGCAUAGAUAUCACACAGAACACCGAUUGCGAAGGCAUCUCACGAAUCCGCGAUUGACGCUGAUGCACGAAAGCGUGGGUAUCAAACAGGAUUAGAUACCCGCGUAGA